Molecule: ribosomal RNA, 253 nt
Filed under: uncultured bacterium
Lineage: Bacteria
Description: partial 16S ribosomal RNA
Rfam family: Bacterial small subunit ribosomal RNA
Source: RNAcentral
UACGUAGGGGGCAAGCGUUGUUCGGAAUUACUGGGCGUAAAGGGCGCGUAGGCGGCCUUCUAAGUCGAACGUGAAAUCCCCGGGCUCAACCCGGGAACUGCGUCCGAUACUGGAAGGCUUGAAUCCGGGAGAGGGAUGCGGAAUUCCAGGUGUAGCGGUGAAAUGCGUAGAUAUCUGGAGGAACACCGGUGGCGAAGGCGGCAUCCUGGACCGGUAUUGACGCUGAGGCGCGAAAGCCAGGGGAGCAAACGGG